RNAcentral lists this long non-coding RNA (792 nucleotides) under Chrysemys picta bellii (western painted turtle). RNAcentral describes it as "lncRNA (ENSCPBG00000020490.1)". The record is from RNAcentral. Lineage: Eukaryota; Metazoa; Chordata; Testudines; Emydidae.
UUCCCCAUUGGCCAUCCGCGCACGCCAAUCAUUUUGUGUGCGCGCGAAUUCUGAGUCCCAUUGGUGGACCUUGCCCCGCCCCCUCGGCUUGUGGGUGAGUGGGCGUGUCUUGGGGCGGGCCGCCAGUGGUGGGGGUCUCGGACACGGGGCAAGCCGAGAGUAGUCGUACGCACGGCCGCUGUCUACGGAGGCGGAUGAGGGGCGGCGCGAGACUAUUUGACACACUGUGGGGAUUUUUGGUCUGCUGGAAAUGCUUACUGGAGAGCAAUGCAAGGUAUGUUCUUACCCCCCCUCCCCCAAUUGAUCCCAAAAGAUGCUCGAUGCAAAUCUUAAAAAUGAGGGAAAGGGGUGUAAAACAUGGGAUACUAUGCCAAAUGCAACUGCCCUCCUCCUCAUUACUCUCUGAGUUUAGUAAGCUGCCUGCUGUCAUAUUUCACAAAACCAUAGAAUGUUAUUUUUGGCAAGAACCUCAGAAAGAGCGUUCGUCCUUCUUAACAGUUGUUGUUUUGAAAACAAGCAUAUGUCUGGCAUCACCAUGUAUUUGUAAAAGGGGAAAAAAGUGAUCUAUUUUCAAAACAUCUAGCGUAAUCGUGUUUUCUGCGGAAUCAAGUGUUAAAUGUUUUGGAAGCUUAAUCUUGAUGUCGUCAUGCUGGUUGUCAAGGUUGAAAUGACGAGCAUGGUUACCUGUUACCCUUGUAAAUGCUCAUCUGUAUCUGUCAAGAGUUGUCUUACAAGGAGUUAUUGUGUGUGCCUGUCCAGAGGACAAUCAGCCUGUAGUAAUUUUCAAAGCUA